Molecule: ribosomal RNA, 1137 nt
Filed under: Triticum aestivum (bread wheat)
Lineage: Eukaryota; Viridiplantae; Streptophyta; Magnoliopsida; Poales; Poaceae
Description: partial small subunit ribosomal RNA
Source: RNAcentral
AUGGCGCCUAGGACAACCAGGGAGGGGAGCGGAGGCGGAGGCGGCCGCGGCGGGGUGAGGCAGUACAACAGGUCCAAGGUGCCGCGCCUCCGGUGGACGAGCGCCCUGCACCGCUGCUUCGUCCACGCCAUUCACAGCCUCGGAGGCCACGACAGGGCGACUCCGAAGCGGGUUCUGCAGGUGAUGGGGGUGGGAGGGCUCACCAUUUCUCAUGUCAAAAGCCAUCUGCAGAUGUACAGGAACAUGAGGAAUGAUCUUGGAAUGCAAGGGAUGCAGCAAGUGCAACAGUCGGGCCAGGAGGAGCACACACGCUCAACAGGAGGAGCCAUGGAAGUCUGCACCGAUGAUGAUGGGGAGUGCCGUCUCCCCGGCUACGGCUCGCCAAAGCCUAGAAAGGAGCCGACGACGCUGCCGCUCCACCCGCAACUGAAAAGGAGGGCAUCUGAGACGGAGACAAGGGAGGAGGUGAGCGCGAGCCCCACGAGCCUGCUGAGAGUGCAAGGAGGAGGAAUAUGCGAGGGUAGGGGCAUGUCGUCGUCGUCCAGCCACGUACCGGCGGCAGCAGGUGGACACUACUACGUGCGUAUGGAUAUGAUGCAGGCGCAUGCCGUGCUUCAAGCGCCACCCAUGGCCGCGGCUCGUUUGGUGGAGCCCCGCCCUUCGAUGCCGCUGGGAAUAAAGCAGAAGCAGAAGCAUCGGCGAGAGCCCUGGAUGCCUACAACAAGGUUGCACCGCGACGGCGAACUCGCGGCCGCCUCCACGCUCGAAUUCUUGGGGUUCCUGGUGGCUCCGGGGCGUCAUCCUCCCCGUCCCCGUGCUGCCUGCUGCGAUGGCUACCCUAUUGAGGUCGGCAUGCCUCCUAACCGCCCGGCCGCAUACACGGCCAGCCGCACCGACGGUGUCCGUCCGUGCAGACCCGAGCCGCCAGGCAACGUCCUCGACGCCGGAUUCACGAAUUUGACUUUGGCCGGCGAACGCGACGGUGGCUGCUCGCUGUCGCUGGCGCUGGCCCUGUGCCCCGCCGGGGGCGGCGGCGCCGAGAGCAGCCUGCUCUCGUCGUCGACAGCCUCCUCGUCGUCGUCGUCGUCGGGGAGUCGGAUCAGCCUCGACCUGUCGCUGUCCACGCACGACUCGUAG